Molecule: long non-coding RNA, 594 nt
Organism: Drosophila virilis
Lineage: Eukaryota; Metazoa; Arthropoda; Insecta; Diptera; Drosophilidae
Source: RefSeq, a predicted model, not a curated record
UAUUCUUGCAAUGGACAAUAUUGUGCGCACUAAACGUCAACGAAGAAACCACUAUAUUUACUGGGCGGUAGUCAUGUGUCUGUUUAUUUUAUUCAUAAUUAUGUUAUUUUUCUUUAUGGAUCAAAAACCCGUAUACUGCUCAGACUAUGAAGUCCUUUGCAUAGAACACGAACAAUAAUUUACAAAAUUUUAUACAUUCUUAAAGACAUGCUGCUUGGGACUGCCUGAGUUCAAAUUGAUCUGAGUUAAUGAUCACAUUUAAACAUAUGUGGCUUUUUCGACCUGCCUGAGAAAACUGCGCCAUUUGCAGACAAUGUGCUCGAUGUUUACACAUAAUUAAGACAAUUUGCUGAUUGGCUGCCAAAAGUUGAGCACAUGCUUUGAGAACUUGCUUAAACAGACGCCAGUUCAAAUUACUCAACUCUUCAAAAAAAAAAAAAAAACAAACUGCCUGCUCCAUUAAUACGAAAUAUAUUCACAUGAUUUUUAAAAAUUGUUCACACAUAUAGGCCGCCAGCACAGUGCCCGUUAGCAGUUGCCUGACAUCGAAUAAAAUAUGAAACCUGGUUUUUUCGUCUACCUUAGCAUCACAUA